AUAUUACUUCAGGGUCGGGUGUAAUUCCCAACCGGCGGUGAGACAUGUUGAACAUGGUAAGCCCGCGACCUGUGCAAACAGCUGAUCUGGUCAAAUUCCAGAGCCGACCGUAAAGUCGGGUAUAAAGAAGUUAAAA
Molecule: non-coding RNA, 136 nt
Organism: Leuconostoc citreum KM20
Lineage: Bacteria; Bacillati; Bacillota; Bacilli; Lactobacillales; Lactobacillaceae
Source: Rfam